Molecule: ribosomal RNA, 468 nt
Filed under: uncultured bacterium
Lineage: Bacteria
Description: partial 16S ribosomal RNA
Rfam family: Bacterial small subunit ribosomal RNA
Source: RNAcentral
GACGAACGCUGGCGGCGUGCUUAACACAUGCAAGUCGAACGGAAAGGCCCUGCUUUUGUGGGGUGCUCGAGUGGCGAACGGGUGAGUAACAAGUGAGUAACCUGCCCUUGACUUUGGGAUAACUUCAGGAAACUGGGGCUAAUACCGGAUAGGAGCUCCUGCUGCAUGGUGGGGGUUGGAAAGGUUCGGCGGUUGGGGAUGGACUCGCGGCUUAUCAGCUUGUUGGUGGGGUAGUGGCUUACCAAGGCUUUGACGGGUAGCCGGCCUGAGAGGGUGACCGGCCACAUUGGGACUGAGAUACGGCCCAGACUCCUACGGGAGGCAGCAGUGGGGAAUAUUGCACAGUGGGCGGAAGCCUGAUGCAGCAACGCCGCGUGCGGGAUGACGGCCUUCGGGUUGUAAACCGCUUUCGCCUGUGACGAAGCGUGAGUGACGGUAAUGGGUAAAGAAGCACCGGCUAACUACGUG